This is a long non-coding RNA of Argiope bruennichi, 957 nucleotides long. RefSeq lists it as uncharacterized. NCBI's taxonomy places the organism in Eukaryota, Metazoa, Arthropoda, Arachnida, Araneae, Araneidae. The record is from RefSeq and is a predicted model, not a curated record. The transcript has 5 exons.
AUAACCAUAAAAAAACAAAUGGGCUUGUUGCGGAUUGCGAUGAGCUAGGAUAGAACCUGAGACCGUGUGGUUUGCAGCCGAGUAACAUGACCACAAUACAAAAGCAAUUGCUCGAGUAGCAUAGCUGUUAAGUGGCUUAUAAGAUUUCAUCACAGACGCUCCCUCCAGUGAAUCAGACGUCGAAGACAUCGAAUAUCAAGGAAAGUGAAGAAGAUCUGUGAUGUCCGUCUCUUAUGCAAAUCAUUCCGAAUCAAUUGACCUUCAAUCAUUCUAAAAGAAUCAUCCUCUCGGAUUAUUUUUGGUGUUGGCCUCUACCGUCACACCUACUAAAGUGCCCCUCUGUUUGGACUUGGUAAAAAUGUCAGGUAGUCUUCGACGUUCUUUUUGAGUUCGUCCUUGAAAUUUAAGACCGGUCCCGCCUUUGACUUAAUUUCACUAUAAAAGAUGAAGAUGCCUCCAUUUCCGAAUAUUUGUAUCCCGAGGUCAUCAUCAGUUGCGGUAGAUCUGCAAUCACAACCGUCAAAAUGAAAGCCCUGCUGGCAGUUACUUUGGCUGUUUUGCUUAUUGUGUCCACCGUACAUGCGGAAGAGAAAAAGGAUGCUGCAAAGGCCGAAGAGAAAAAGCCUGUAGAGAAAGUAGUGUGGCCUGGACUCUACCUUCCAGGUCCAGCCUUUAGAGCCCCCGUACACGUCGUUCCCUUACACUACCAGCCUAUCCAUACAUAUUGGUAUUAAAUUGAUCAAAGAUGAUUUGACUUUCUGGAAAAGAUAAGGUUGAAAUUCGAAGACUUUAGCUUUACGUCAAGAAGUGGCUUAUUUUGUAUCAUUUAAAUUUUGUAUCGCUAAAAUGUUUUCUUUUGUGCAACAAUGAGCUUUUUAUUGGUGACUUUUCAGUCGCAGACAGCUUUUCAUGAAUUAAUUUUUUAAAUUUGAAUAAAAAUACGCUUUUUGCAAAAUA